GUUGGAGGGAACAGAACAUUAAGAACAAGAUAUGACAUUGAACCUUGAAUCCAUAAGGAAUGAAUCUACGUGGCUGCCUGUUUGAGCAGGAGGGAACGGAUUUCUAUUCCAAAAAUACAGAGGCGUGAGCCUCAAGUCUGCAUCUUCUAAAACAAGCCAUUAAAGCAAACAAAGAAGUUGAUGUUCUAUAAGAUAUAUUUAAUCAGAUGGCUGCUGCCUGCACAUCCACAGAGCAACUCACGUUCAAAUGAAUUUCCGAAUAAGAUAAUGACAGGACUAAGCUUCCUGAUAUCUUGUUGGAGGAGAUCAUCAAGAGACCAUGACCACUGGUUGACCUGCACCUGGAUCUGGAUGAUCAGAGACUCCCCACCCACAUCUCAUCCUUGGAACCCACGUUCUACCCCCUGUCCCAUGGUGGGAGCCAUUUUCAAGGGCAUGGCCUUGAGCGAGCAAUGUGUUGUUAGAGCCAUCUGGACAGUGUAUGGAACUGAUGGUUCACAUUGAGGCCUCUAUAUAGACUUUAUAUAAACUAUACAAACCUCGGUAUAAAGAUUCCCACAGCCUUGUAAAUUAACUAUACUUCAAUAAGACUUACAAAAUUAAAAACAGGAAAAAAAAUAUUUGUUAGGACUUCCCAUUGCAGCUCAGCAGGUUAAGAACCUGACCCUGACUUAGUGUCCAUGAGGAUGCAGGUUUGAUCCUUUGCCGUGCCCAUUGAG
This 719-nucleotide long non-coding RNA is filed under the name Sus scrofa (pig). RNAcentral's name for it is "lncRNA (ENSSSCG00060078404.1)". Lineage: Eukaryota; Metazoa; Chordata; Mammalia; Artiodactyla; Suidae. The record is from RNAcentral.